RNAcentral lists this ribosomal RNA (746 nucleotides) under Lactococcus sp. INBio2555E. RNAcentral describes it as "bacterial SSU rRNA". It matches the Rfam family "Bacterial small subunit ribosomal RNA", at positions 25 to 754 of the family's 1533-position model. The record is from RNAcentral. Lineage: Bacteria; Bacillati; Bacillota; Bacilli; Lactobacillales; Streptococcaceae.
CAGGACGAACGCUGGCGGCGUGCCUAAUACAUGCAAGUUGAGCGCUGAAGGUUGGUACUUGUACCAACUGGAUGAGCAGCGAACGGGUGAGUAACGCGUGGGGAAUCUGCCUUUGAGCGGGGGACAACAUUUGGAAACGAAUGCUAAUACCGCAUAAAAACUUUAAACACAAGUUUUAAGUUUGAAAGAUGCAAUUGCAUCACUCAAAGAUGAUCCCGCGUUGUAUUAGCUAGUUGGUGAGGUAAAGGCUCACCAAGGCGAUGAUACAUAGCCGACCUGAGAGGGUGAUCGGCCACAUUGGGACUGAGACACGGCCCAAACUCCUACGGGAGGCAGCAGUAGGGAAUCUUCGGCAAUGGACGAAAGUCUGACCGAGCAACGCCGCGUGAGUGAAGAAGGUUUUCGGAUCGUAAAACUCUGUUGGUAGAGAAGAACGUUGGUGAGAGUGGAAAGCUCAUCAAGUGACGGUAACUACCCAGAAAGGGACGGCUAACUACGUGCCAGCAGCCGCGGUAAUACGUAGGUCCCGAGCGUUGUCCGGAUUUAUUGGGCGUAAAGCGAGCGCAGGUGGUUUAUUAAGUCUGGUGUAAAAGGCAGUGGCUCAACCAUUGUAUGCAUUGGAAACUGGUAGACUUGAGUGCAGGAGAGGAGAGUGGAAUUCCAUGUGUAGCGGUGAAAUGCGUAGAUAUAUGGAGGAACACCGGUGGCGAAAGCGGCUCUCUGGCCUGUAACUGACACUGAGGCUC